CGGUCCACAGGUCGCCGUGGAUGCGGGCGGGCGGCUCGUCGCCGCCGACCCGGUCGAGACCGGCCAGGACCCGUUCGACGCGGGCUGUGUCGGCC
This 95-nucleotide transfer RNA is filed under the name Catellatospora chokoriensis. RNAcentral describes it as "tRNA-Thr". Lineage: Bacteria; Bacillati; Actinomycetota; Actinomycetes; Micromonosporales; Micromonosporaceae. The record is from RNAcentral.